This 253-nucleotide ribosomal RNA is filed under the name uncultured bacterium. Its description in RNAcentral is "partial 16S ribosomal RNA". It matches the Rfam family "Bacterial small subunit ribosomal RNA", at positions 524 to 776 of the family's 1533-position model. The record is from RNAcentral.
UACGAAGGGGGCUAGCGUUGUUCGGAAUUACUGGGCGUAAAGCGUGCGCAGGCGGUAAGUUAAGUCUGAUGUGAAAGCCCCGGGCUCAACCUGGGAACGGCAUUGGAAACUGGCUUGCUGGAGUGUGGCAGAGGGGGGUGGAAUUCCGCGUGUAGCAGUGAAAUGCGUAGAGAUGCGGAGGAACACCGAUGGCGAAGGCAGCCCCCUGGGCCAACACUGACGCUCAGGCACGAAAGCGUGGGGAGCAAACAGG